UUCCUUGCAAGUCGAGUUAUUAGCUUAGUUAUACAUAAGUAUCGGUCAGCAAUGGAUAGUGACUGAUUUCUACGAGAGCACAAAACGUGUAGGCUACAUUUUAAGCUGUAUUUGAAAAGCCCGUCAAGUAAAACGCUUAUUUCUUAAUUAAAGUGGCAGUGUUGUAUUUUGAGACAGGCUUGAACAUGCAAAUAAGCCAAUAGGCAGAGUGGUAGCCUACAUUGUCUAAUUCUCUGUCUGGUAAUAAUAAUUUAUUUUACUUUGACUGAUACUGUAGGUGAUAUACAGUAUUGUUACAUACUGUACUCUACACACUGUGGUUGAAUCAGGACUGAUACUGCAGGUGAUAUACAGUAUUGUUACAUACUGUACUCUACACACUGUGGUUGAAUCAGGAAUGAUACUGCAGGUGAUAUACAGUAUUGUUACAUACUGUACUCUACACACUGUGGUUGAAUCAGGACUGAUACUGUAGGUGAUAUACAGUAUUGUUACAUACUGUACUCUACACACUGUGGUUGAAUCAGGACUGAUACUGUAGGUGAUAUACAGUAUUGUUACAUACUGUACUCUACACACUGUGGUUGAAUCAGGACUGAUACUGUAGGUGAUAUACAGUAUUGUUACAUACUGUACUCUACACACUGUGGUUGAAUCAGGACUGAUACUGUAGGUGAUAUACAGUAUUGUUACAUACUGUACUCUACACACUGUGGUUGAAUCAGGACUGAUACUGUAGGUGAUAUACAGUAUUGUUACAUACUGUACUCUACACACUGUGGUUGAAUCAGGACUGAUACUGUAGGUGAUAUACAGUAUUGUUACAUACUGUACUCUACACACUGUGAUUGAAUCAGGACUGAUACUGUAGGUGAUAUACAGUAUUGUUACAUAAUGUACUCUACACACUGUGAUUGAAUAAGGACUGAUACUGUAGGUGAUAUACAGUAUUGUUACAUACUGUACUCUACACACUGUGAUUGAAUCAGGACUGAUACUGUAGGUGAUAUACAGUAUUGUUACAUAAUGUACUCUACACACUGUGGUUGAAUCAGGACUGAUACUGUAGGUGAUAUACAGUAUUGUUACAUACUGUACUCUACACACUGUGGUUGAAUCAGGACUGAUACUGUAGGUGAUAUACAGUAUUGUUACAUACUGUACUCUACACACUGUGGUUGAAUCAGGACUGAUACUGUAGGUGAUAUACAGUAUUGUUACAUACUGUACUCUACACACUGUGGUUGAAUCAGGACUGAUACUGUAGGUGAUAUACAGUAUUGUUACAUACUGUACUCUACACACUGUGGUUGAAUCAGGACUGAUACUGUAGGUGAUAUACAGUAUUGUUACAUACUGUACUCUACACACUGUGGUUGAAUCAGGACUGAUACUGUAGGUGAUAUACAGUAUUGUUACAUACUGUACUCUACACACUGU
Molecule: long non-coding RNA, 1440 nt
Organism: Oncorhynchus keta (chum salmon)
Lineage: Eukaryota; Metazoa; Chordata; Actinopteri; Salmoniformes; Salmonidae
Exons: 4
Source: RefSeq, a predicted model, not a curated record